AACGAACGCUGGCGGCAUGCCUAACACAUGCAAGUCGAACGAGACCUUCGGGUCUAGUGGCGCACGGGUGCGUAACGCGUGGGAAUCUGCCCUUCGGUUGGGAAUAACUGAGAGAAAUUUCAGCUAAUACCUUAUAAUGUCUUCGGACCAAAGAUUUAUCGCCGAGGGAUGAGCCCGCGUAGGAUUAGGUAGUUGGUGGGGUAAUGGCCUACCAAGCCGACGAUCCUUAGCUGGUCUGAGAGGAUGAUCAGCCACACUGGAACUGAGACACGGCCCAGACUCCUACGAGAGGCAGCAGUGGGGAAUAUUGGACAAUGGACGAAAGCCUGAUCCAGCAAUGCCGCGUAAGUGAUGAAGGCCGUAGGGUUGUAAAGCUCUUUUACCCGGGAUGAUAAUGACAGUACCGGGAGAAUAAGCUCCGGCUAACUCCGUG
Molecule: ribosomal RNA, 433 nt
Filed under: uncultured bacterium
Lineage: Bacteria
Description: partial 16S ribosomal RNA
Rfam family: Bacterial small subunit ribosomal RNA
Source: RNAcentral